Molecule: unclassified non-coding RNA, 2300 nt
Filed under: Hevea brasiliensis (rubber tree)
Lineage: Eukaryota; Viridiplantae; Streptophyta; Magnoliopsida; Malpighiales; Euphorbiaceae
Source: RNAcentral
UUUUUUUUUUCUGUUAUGGUUUUAGAUCUGUCUUAGGGAAUUCAUUAGAUAGUGUGAAGUGAUAGCCAUGUCUGUGAAUAAUAACAAUAAUAGUACUACUACUAAUAAUAACAACAAUAGUAAUAGUAAUCCGCCCAAGAGCCUUGGGCAACCUACGGGGAUGCUCAGUCAAUCGUUGCCCAUGAACCCAGCAUUCUCACAGUCACAAUCUCAGGUGCAAAUUGGCACCGGCUUUCAGGGUCAGUUCCAGCUGUCCCAAGCACAGGUCACUGCUCAGGCACAGUUGAAAGCGCAACAGGCUCAUGUGCAAGCACAGGCCCAAGCAGCUCAUGCUGCUCAAGUUCAAGCAGCGCAUUUACAGUUCCAAGCUCAGUUGCAGGCUCAGGGAAUAUCUCUUAGCCAAGCCCAAAAUGCCGCCUUGGGAAACUUGGGUUCAUCCUCACCUUCAUUUUCAACUCCUGGUAGCAUGAAUUUGAAGCGUCUACCUCAAAAACCCCCAGUUCGGCCUCCUGGUGUUCCCAUGCCAAGCAUGAUUUCCCCAUUGAGAACUAUGGAUCUCACCCCUGCAGCUCGCAGGAAGAAGCAGAAGCUUCCGGAGAAGCAACUACAAGAUAGAAUGGCAGCCAUUCUCCCUGAGUCUGCUCUGUAUACACAGCUUCUUGAAUUUGAGUCUCGAGUUGAUGCUGCUUUAUCUAGAAAAAAGGUUGACAUCCAGGAGGCUCUUAAAAAUCCUCCUUGUGUUCAGAAAACACUUCGAAUUUAUGUUUUCAACACUUUUGCUAAUCAGAUCAGAACAAUUCCGAAGAAGCCAAAUGCUGAGCCCCCAACUUGGACUCUUAAGAUUGUUGGGAGAAUAUUGGAAGAUGGGAUAGAUCCUGACCAACCUGGAGUAGUUCAGAAAUCAAACCCCUUGUAUCCAAAGUUCUCAUAUUUUUUCAAGAGAGUGACUAUUAUGUUGGAUCAGAGAUUAUAUCCUGAUAAUCAUAUGAUUGUAUGGGAGCAUUCUCGAACACCUGCAACUCAUGAGGGUUUUGAAGUAAAGAGAAGGGGGGAUAAAGAGUUUACAGUUACUAUACGGUUGGAAAUGAACUAUUUGCCUGAGAAAUUUAAGCUCUCUCCAGCUUUGAUGGAAGUUCUUGGUAUUGAGGUUGACACCCGUCCAAGAAUAAUAGCUGCAAUCUGGCAUUAUGUGAAGGCAAGGAAACUGCAGAAUCCAGAGGACCCUUCUUUCUUUAAUUGUGAUCCACCUCUUCAGAAAGUAUUUGGGGAAGCAAAGAUGAAAUUUACCAUGGUUUCACAGAAGAUAUCGCAGCAUUUAUCUCCUCCUCAACCAAUAGUUUUGGAGCAUAAGAUAAAGCUUUCAGGAAACAGUCCAGUUGGAACUGCAUGCUACGAUGUGGUGGUGGAUGUCCCCUUCCCAAUACAGAGGGAAUUGAAUGCUCUGUUGGCCAAUGCAGAGAAGAACAAAGAGAUUGAAACCUGUGAUGAAGCAAUAUGUGCUGCUAUAAGGAAAAUUCAUGAACAUCGUAGGAGGCGGGCAUUCUUCCUUGGGUUCAGCCAAUCGCCUGUGGAAUUCAUUAAUGCUUUGAUUGAAUCUCAAAGCAAGGAUUUGAAGCUUGUAGCUGGAGAAGCUAGUCGAAGUGCUGAGAAGGAGCGCCGUGCUGAUUUCUUCAACCAACCAUGGGUUGAAGAUGCUGUUAUUCGCUACCUAAAUCGUAAGCCGGCUGCAGGAAGUGAUGCUCCUGGAAGCACCUGAGUUGGAAGCUAUUUUUCACUGCUGAUCUGCGUGUUUGUUCGACUUUGAUUCUUUCACUUGGCAUCUGUAUAGCUUUUAUGAAAAUAUGGCUAUUUCUGAUCAAUCUAAUUGUUAAUGGUCAUCAAGCCACAGGAUGAACACCCCUUUACUUGUUAUACAACAGUUAUGGUUUGUAGCUUGUUAGCAGAAUUGUCCACAUAUUUGUUUUACUCAUUGUGCUAUUGAGAAGAUUGGCCCCAUAGGGCAUAUGGUUAUAUGAAUCAUUGAGACAUUGAUGCGAUGUUGCCCUGUACUCCCUGUGGGUUGUGCAGCAGCACUAAUUGGCGCUGAGUCCACUCGGUUUUCCUCUAGAAACAAUAAAUUGCUGAAUGAUGGGAUUUUAUCUUUUUCCCCACUGGAAACAUGAAAUAAAGUUGCGCACACUUCCGCAGGGAUUGAUGGAAAAAUGGCACUGAUUGUGGGAUCAACGCCUAAGUAUCUGUCUGUGUAAUUCCGGAUCCAACUUAAAUUUGGGAAUAAUUAAAUUAGUGAAAACAACUAAAAA